This is a long non-coding RNA of Hipposideros armiger (great roundleaf bat), 7871 nucleotides long. RefSeq lists it as uncharacterized. NCBI's taxonomy places the organism in Eukaryota, Metazoa, Chordata, Mammalia, Chiroptera, Hipposideridae. The transcript is spliced from 7 exons. The record is from RefSeq and is a predicted model, not a curated record.
UUCGAAUCAGCGGCACUGGGAAAAUGGAUUCAAUUCUAAAUAUUUCACAGCCACUUUUCUAGUUCAAAGCUUGUUUCUUAAAUGGUGAAUGAGUUGCUGGAAGAAAAUAUAGAAUCUUCACCCUUAUGUGUCUGGAAAAAUUUGUAGGCGUGGAAUUCCUGGAUCAAAUGGUAUGACGCAGUUUACGGUUUCUCCCCCCAACCUCCAACCCCAUAUAUAUCGCCUAAUUUAUUUGUCAUAUGUGGUAAAAAUGUUAUUUUCCAGUUGUUGUUUGCCUGUUGAUUUUUUUAUCAUUCUUGUUGGAGUUAUCUUUAUAUGCCACAGCUUUACAUUUUUAAAUAUCCACAGCUAUCAAUUUUUGAUUUUGUGAUAUUUCUUUCCUUUGAUGAAUAUAUUCACUUGUAUUUUUUCCCUAGUCAUUUCAUUGCUUCAUUUUUUACAAUUAUCUCUAAUCAUCUGGAAUUCCUUUUGGUAUAUGGUAUGAAGUAGGGUCUAAUUUUAUUUUUUUUCCAAAUAGGUCACCAAUUGUUUCAGCAUCAUUUAUUGAAUAAUCCAACCUUCCUCCACUGAUUUGAAAUGGCAACAACUGUUCUCUCAUUGUAUAGAGUGUAGCUUUCCACAGGUCAGCCAUUUUCUCUCUACCUAAGAUGGUUACAUUCCACAAUAGUACCCCUACCUUCUUGCAGCUUCUGGAAGCAUUCUAAAGCAUCAUGUUCAUGCUUAUGUCCUUCAAGAAUUCUAGGCACAUGCAGUUUAGAACAGUGGUUUUCAAACAGGAUUUUAAAAUGUUAGCUAUUUAAAAUUGUUAUGAGAUUUUUUUUUACAAAUUAAAAUUUAGUGAAUUCCAAUAUAUAAAACGACUGUUCCAGAUGUGCUAUUCUUCGUGGACACACCUGACAUUCUAAUUGUGUGUUCAAAAAAUACUCCCCCUCCCCUCCCCCACCCCAGGGUUAGUGUUACUCCUAAAUUUCUUCCUUCAACCUCUUUUUCUACUCCUCAGGUACUCGGAGAAUUAAAGCUGUCUGGACUCAGUUCCUGGAGUUUUCUAGAAUGGUAUAAGAGGGAUAUAUGUAAAAAUGUAUGAGGAGCAGAAAUAAAUAAUGUUUGCCAGCCUGUUGCUGGCAGUAUUCUGAUCUAAGGGUUUGAAGGCGGUAGGGUGAGUCCCAAUCUGUGCCACCACUGCCACCAUCUCUUACAGAUAGGGACACACCCCAAUGGUUCACCUCUUUUCACUGCAGGUGGAGGCUCAAGAAUAAAACACAGAGUCUUUUAGUGGGAGAUGGGGUAAAUGUUGCUCACAAAAAUAUUUGACUAUUAAAAUCACCUGCCACCCACUGUUGACACCCCCCCAUUCCCAAACCCAACACAGCCUGCUUUCUCUGUUGCCUUCUGAACUGGCCUCUAGCCUUUACUGAUUCUGAAAGAAAAAAUGUUGCCAUGGGUGGGAGGAUGCUUUCCCCACCCGUAUUGCAAGGGGCUCCUUUGGCUCACAGCCCCAGCCCCAGUCAUUUCUUGACUUGCUGCAUUAGGCUGUGAUUUGUUUGUAACUGGAGGCUGGUUUCCCUGGCAACGGAAGAUCGCCAGGGCUUGCGCAUUUACUCUCCGCUGCAGUGGCAGAAUGCGGCAGUAGAGGCAAAGGAGGGGUCUUGGGAGCCUCAGUCGCUGAAGGAGUUAUUCUGCAGUCAUGAUGUCAGUGUUUCUGGGAUAAAUUGCCAUCGUUAUUGUAAAUAGAACGUUAUUGUAAAAACUGUUAUUCCUAUUGUUAUUGUAAAAAAAAAUUGCAUUUUCUUUUCAUCUUUGGAAGGCUUUGAGGCACUUACUUUUUCUUCCUCCCAAAUUACCUUCCCUCAUUAUGUCUACCAGUGACUACGAAGUCUUCCCAAUGUUUGAGGCCACUGAUGCCCCCAGGGCGCCGAGGAGAUUCAUAACAAUAUUGCUUCCACAAUACCCAGAGUUGCAUCACAACAUGGACUUACUCGAAAAUGGAAAACCUACGGUGCGCACAAACAUUCCCAAGUGUGUAGACAUAUAGUACACAUAUAACCCUGCGAUGCAAAGAUCUCCAUCAUAGUUUACAGACAUGCUUUACCAUACUAUUGGGCUACGACUUGGGCCUACAACAGAUACACAGCUUGUGUAAUGGUUAAGAGCAAGGCAUCUGGACCCAUCCUACCUGGGUUUGAAUCUGGGUUCCAUCCCUUUCUAAUUGUAUCACCUUGGGAGGAGAUGGCAGAUUGGAGCGAGCCCCAGGAAGAGGGGAAAGAGGGCUUCCCUCCAGGUGCACAUGUGCCACCUAGUGACCAUAUUGACUUUUAAGAUCUGCGGCCUGCCCAAGCGAUCAGGCGGAUCCGCGACUGUUAAACUACCAUCGAACAACAAACCGUGUGGAGUCGCAUGACUUUGGCCUUGAGAUGGUUAAUUCAGAGGGCCUCUCGGCUGCCGCUGCUGGGACCGAGUUGGGGGUGGUGGUGACUGGUGUAACUGAGGAAGUGUCCUCACACGCAGUGAACGGGUCAAAAGUGACGGCACACAGUCCUCCCAUCCCUGCGGGGGACCAGCCCGCCCUGCACCGAGAGAGUGGACCUCCAGCAAGCAAUAGCAGCGGUGGGCGGGCGGGCAGGCGCUGAAGGGGCCACACGAGGGGGGCAGGUCUCUCCCGAGAGCGGCCGGUUGAUAAAGGCUGCGCGGAAGGACACUGCUUCAGAGUAAGCGCGCUGCAAACACGAAACGCAUUCUCCCCAGAGGGGAGCAGACCGUGCCGUGGCGGUUAGAAGAGGAGAUGGCCGGGCCUGGAGCGGCCAGAACCAGGAAGGAGGGACUUCUGCUUCACCACCUCAAGGAGCACAGCCCAGUGCUUCGCCCACGGAGGCCGUGGGGACUGGAUGGAGUUUGGAGGGGACUGAAGACGGUGAUAUUCGUGCUUCUCAACUCAGCCUGGUAGCCUGACCUUGACUCCUGAGUUUCCUGAUCCCUUCACAACUGCAAGUCAUUCUCAUACAAAAUUUGACUUUACCUAGUUUGCACCUUUGAAAGUUUUGGAACAAUAUGCAAAUUCAAGUCACCAUCAUGUUGUCUUGCUGACUAUCUCAUGUGACAAGACCAGCAUUUGAGUUGCUUGCUUCUGCCCUUGUUGUUCUUCUGCCUGUUGCUCCCUCUGCAGCUGUCUAUCACAUACAUGUGUAGUCAUACAAAAGAUGUCUGCUUUUUCUAUUUGUCUUAUGAAUGUUGUCAUUUGCUUCUUAUAUAUUAUAUUAGUGUUGUGUACCACUCAGCGAUAUAAAACUUUGAAUAAUUGUAAAUUUGCAUAAGUUUGGGUAAGAAUGGCACCUAAGCAGAAAAACAAGAAAGUAGAUGAUAGAAAUGCAAGACAAGUAAAGAGGGCAAGAAAGGUGAUACGUAUUGCAAACAAAAUGAGAGUUCUUGAAAUGUUCGAUAAUGGUGAAACAAAGACAUAGGGUGAUUUUUUUGGUGCUGAUGAAUUCACAAUUUGUACAAUAAAGGAAAAUCAGAAAGGUAUUAGGUCUAGUGUGUCAAGGGGCACACCAGAACCAUUGAGAAAAAUCACACAUAACUCGAAAUCCCAAAAUAUAGAAAAUGGAAAGAGAUUUGCACUUGUGGCUUCUAAAAGAGAGAAGGCUGAAUAGGCCUCUUUCUAUAUGUGUAAUCCCCCAGCGAGCCUCACAAAAAAUGCAAGUUUAAAUUUCGAUCUGGACGAGAAGUUCUAACAUUUAUCGUGAGUAAUGGGUGGUUGGAUAGGGCUAAGGUAUGCUAUGGUCUGUAUGAAAGAAUUGGUUGGCAGAGGAAGCAGAUCAUGAAGCUGCUGCAGAGUAUCCUGAAUACCUGAAGAAACUGAUUGAGGAAAACGGCUGUUUGCCUGAAGAGGUCUUCCAUGCUGACAAAACGGUCCUAUUCUGGAAGCACGUGCCUACUUGCAUAUCUGCGGUGAAGGAGGGGGAAAAGACCAGAGGCUUCAAGCCUGGAAAAGGCAAGCUCAAAGUUCUACUUUGUUCCUAUGUAGACUCUUUGAUUAAAUCCGUGUUGCUUCACAGAUUUCGAAAUCCAUUAUCCUCUUAGAAGAGGAUGCGAGAAACACUUUCCUCCUUACAUGAUGGGAAACUGUAACAUUGGGAUCAUUGAGAAACGCUUUUUGGGCUGGUUUUUGAAGUGUUGUGUUCCUGAGGUUAAAAAACAUUUAAACCAAAAAAAACCACAAACCUUGAAUUCAGUGUUGCUGAUUCUGGACACUGACAAAAGUGCAAUAGUAAAUGCUUCUUAUGUUAAAAUCGUCUCCAUUCCUCCCAUAACAAAUCCAGUCCUUCAACCCAUGCAUCUGGGAGUGCGAAAAAUGUUCACUAUGUAUUGUCCUUGGCAUAUGUUUGACUACCUUGCAGAUCUUAUGAGAGAGACACCACAACUUACUGUGAGAGAAGCUUGGCAAAUUUUCUCCAUUUGUAACACUUUAACGAUAGUAGAAGAAUCAGUGAGAAGGAUAAAACAGUCAACCGUUAAUGGAGCCUGGUGGACACUUUGGAAUGAGAUUGUAACUGAUUCAGAAAGUUUCCUUCCAGUGGUAGAAGAAAUUGAAAAUAUUAUAGCAUCUGCAAAACGUUUAGGUGGUGAAGGAUUUGAAGACAUUGACUUUAGUGACGUUGCUGAACUGUUAGAUUGUCAUGCUCAGAAGAUGGUUGAGAAAUAUUUCAGAGAUGUUAUCACAUCAGAAAUUGAUAAAAGAGGUCAGCAUAGGUUAACAUCCAGAACUUGAAGAAUGUUGAAGUACCCACUCUGCAAAUCAAAAUGCCGUGAUGAUUCAGAGGACAGAGAUUUCUUCGAUGGAAUAUUUCCUGCCUGACCUUCAGGCAAGGCUUAAAUGAUUACCCACAAUCCUCUAAAUCAGCAAUACAGACAGCAGGCAGAGAGGCUGCACACAGAGAGUUGAACCUUGGGAUUGAGACUCCGUUCAGCUCUGAUGGUGUGGUGAUCCGCGUGCCAGAGGAUGAAAGUGGAGCAGAAGACUGAGUUUACUUAUCUCCAGACAAAAUCUAAUCUCCAUUCUUUCCCUAUCACGACUGCCAUAGCCAGCAUUUCAUUGAUGUGUAAUUAUCCUCACCUUGAGAUCAGAGAGAAAUAGAAAUGAAUUGCCCAAUAAUCACUGUUGCUAAUGUAAAUUUCAUUUCAUCAAGAUUCACUUUACUUAGGGUUUUAUGUCAGUGAACAAAGAAUUGUCUGAGCUUUCAUAAUACUCUCCUCCCUGCCCCAGUUUCCCCCCAAAGCUCAUACAUUCCACCAACACAAAUUCCCCUAUGAUGAGGGUUUGGGGAACACAAUUCUAGUACGUAAGGUGGGGCUACUCUACUUGGUUGGACAAUAUGAUUUUGUACCCUUGAUCCUGAAAUUUAUAUGAAUUCUGUUUAAGCCUAACUUGCUAUCUCAACAGAGAAGAUCCAAACCCUCUCCUUUUAACUAGUGGGUAUGAAUUAAUUUGUUUUGCAGCAAUUGUAUCAGGUCCUGAAAGGCAGUAUAUUUAUAAUGGAUUUCUGGAUUUACUUUGGUAUCUAAUCAAGGAGGUGAUGCUGCUAGAAUUCAUUUCCAUCAAUCUUCUCUCUUCCCAUAUCUGGUCUUCCCAGUGACUGAAACAGUUAAAUAUCUUCCAGAAAAAGAUAUCGAUACUUCCUUUUCCCUAAAGGUGGCAGAAAUCCUGUAAUCCCCCACCCCAGCAUGGAGGUCUGAAUUAUAGGCAACCUGUAUCUGAGUUUGAAGUGAUCAGAGAAAAUGGAAAGAUAUAUAAAAGUUAAAAGGGCUUACUUGCAUAAUUACAGUUGAGAUGAUAGACAUUCCUCAACAAGUUCAAAAGAGGCAGAUGAGAGUUGAAAACCCAUGAUAGAGUACUUUGGAGCUAGUGACUCAUCACAGUGCCAGAGGAGUUUCUACUCUUGCUCUAAGCCACAGUGAUCCUCAACACUGACUGCACAUCAAAAUCAUGAUGGGGACCUUUGAAAAAAAGACAGAUUUCUAGGACCCUUCCUUAGACACACUCAAUCAGGGAUGGGGCCAGCAUCUGGGUAUUUCAAAAUCUCCUCGUCAUUAUUUUAUACACCCAUGAUUGCAAACCACUGCUCUAGAUCUAAACAGACUUAUAAUAGAAAGUAUUUAAUGCAAAUAACAUGGGCUCAAGAGCUAGGAAACCCUGACUUCAAGUGUCUGCUCUGCUACUAGCUAAAUGGAUGGUCUUAUUCAAAUCACUCCACUCUUACCUUGUCUGUAAAAAAGGAAAGAAGAGGACCUGUUUCUAAGGUCCUUCUAUCUCUAACAUUGUUACCUUGAGAGAAAAGUGUUUCACCCUCAUUGGUUGAUUUUGUGAGUACCCAAGCCCUUUCAUAGAGACCAAGGUAAGUAGUAGUAUUACUGUAUUGUGUUCUUCUUAUUUUAAAAAUUGUGCUUGUGGUUCAAGCGUUAUCACAUUUUAGUCCUUCCCAGAAAAGUUAGGCAUAGAUACCAUAGAAAAAAAGUGAAACAAACAUAGCACAAGCAUCUUGGAAGGAAAGAGAGAGAGCACCUCCCAUGAGUUUCUUUUUAUGUGAUAAUUGCUAUUUUUCUUCUGAGUUACAGGGUUUAGGGAAAAUAAUGCAUAGAUAUUUUGAGGAAAACACUUUAACAUUUUGUAUCUACUGUUUCCGUAAACUAAAACAAAGAACUCUGUAUGGUUCUGGUUUCAAAUUUCCAUGGAUACUUGGCAUAGUCUUACUCAUAUCUAGAGGUAAAUAUUAAGUCAGUGAUUGUUUUAUCAGUAUAAACAGUGGUUCUAUAUGCCAUUAAAGAAUGUGCUUUCACGAUUUUACCAUUCAUUGAGAUUCCUGCAUUGGCAAUUUUUUCACUUAAUUUGACCGGAAUUAGAGAAAUAAAAUUUUAAAUGAAACAGCGUAAACCAGGAACUGUUGCUAUAAAAUAAUGUAACAGGAAACUGACUACUGUAUGAUUUUAGUUGUCAUAGGAAUGCCUAGACUUUGGCUUGAUACAUGGAAACAUUUGUCUAGGGCCCAGGUCAUUUGAAAUAAAACAUUGGAAUAAAUUUAAUUCUUGGUUAAGUCAAUAUCCAGUUAAAAUAAUCUAAAACGUAUCAUUGAUGAGGGUAAUAGAACGUUUUAAUAUGGUUGAGUUUAACAAGUCAGCAGAACUUGGAGGAAGGAGGAUGUGAAAGUUGGUAGAGGCUAAGUGGUGGAAAAAGAAAUCAACAACAGAGAUUGAUUCAAGAUGGCAGAUUAGAGAAAUAUAAAACUGCAAAGAAAGAAAAAGUUAAUGACAACACUGCUAUGUAAACAGGUGUUUCUUUUUUCUUUUCUAAGUUAAGAAUAGCCCCCAAAACUGAAAAGCUAAAAUUUCUUUUAGUAUAUUUUAUGUCCAGUUUGAGUUUAAAGUCUUUCUGUUGUCAAAUGGCUCAGGUAAAUUCUUGUGUUCAAUAUUAUGAAGUGCAUGGAAAUUUCCUUCCCAGACAUAUUUAACCACUGAAAAAAAGAAAAAGAAAAAGGAAAAAGCGUGGGAAGAAAUGGAGCCCAGGCUGCUGAAAUUUGUAGAAACUAUUAGAAAACUGGCAUUACCUUUAAAAAGAACCUUUUGUUUGUUGAAAAAUCCUUCAAGUUCAAAAUGCAGAGGAGGUUCUUUGAACUAGAUAUUGAAUUACAUAGCUACCACCACCUGAAUGCUAAUAAAGGGCUUCUACCGUGUAUAUAGCCUAAAAGAAUGUGAAUCAUAUUUGUACUGUGAAAUACAUUGAUCAUUGAACUUUACAUAGUAUUAUUACCUCUUAAUGGCCUUUGAUGUCAGUGUGCUCUGGUUGUUUAUCUAAGAAUUUAGAAAUAAAUGUGAUGUGCUCUGAA